AGCGCAACCCUUGCCAUUAGUUGCUACGAAAGGGCACGUCUAAUGGGACUGCCGGUGACAAACCGGAGGAAGGUGGGGAUGACGUCAAGUCCUCAUGGCCCUUAUAGGUGGGGCUACACACGUCAUACGAAUGGCCGGUACAGAGGGUAGCCAACCCGCGAGGGGAGCCAAUCCCACAAAGCCGGUCGUAGUCCGGAUCGCAGUCUGCAACUCGACUGCGUGAAGUCGGAAUCGCUAGUAAUCGCGGAUCAGCAUGUCGCGGUGAAUACGUUCCCGGGUCUU
This 282-nucleotide ribosomal RNA is filed under the name uncultured Allobrachymonas sp. Its description in RNAcentral is "uncultured Brachymonas sp. partial 16S ribosomal RNA". It matches the Rfam family "Bacterial small subunit ribosomal RNA", at positions 1095 to 1382 of the family's 1533-position model. The record is from RNAcentral. Lineage: Bacteria; Pseudomonadati; Pseudomonadota; Betaproteobacteria; Burkholderiales; Comamonadaceae.